ACGGGGGGGGCAAGCGUUGUUCGGAAUUACUGGGCGUAAAGGGCUCGUAGGCGGCCAACUAAGUCAGACGUGAAAUCCCUCGGCUUAACCGGGGAAUUGCGUCUGAUACUGGAUGGCUUGAGGUUGGGAGAGGGAUGCGGAAUUCCAGGUGUAGCGGUGAAAUGCGUAGAUAUCUGGAGGAACACCUGUGGCGAAAGCGGCGCACUGGACCACAACUGACGCUGAGGCGCGAAAGCUAGGGGAGCAAACAGGA
Molecule: ribosomal RNA, 253 nt
Filed under: uncultured prokaryote
Description: partial 16S ribosomal RNA
Rfam family: Bacterial small subunit ribosomal RNA
Source: RNAcentral